ACGUAGUUGCUGGCAUGUGGGUAGGGAUAACAAUCCAACUCGUUGUUCGUAAGCCGGCUUAUGUUCGGCUCGAAAUGAGCUCGAAAUCGAAUCGCUCGUUUAGUAAACAAGCCGAACACGAGCCGAAUUUUUCGGCUUGUUUAUUAAAUAAGCCGAACACGAACUGGGAUCAGCUCGAUAACAGCUCGAAUACAUAUAUUUUAUAUUUAUAUAAUUUAUUUAAUUUAUAUUUAUAUAUAUAAAUAAAUAAUUAUAUAUAUAAUAUAUAUUUUUAUUAUUUAAUUUUUAGCAAAAUAAAAAUAUAAAGACAAGCUCAAUUAUAAAAAAACUCAUUUAUAUGUAAAGUUUCAACUAUUAGAUCAAAGUCUAAUGGAUAAGAUUUUAUAAAUUUAUUUUGUAUAUGUUCAAUCUAAUCCUUUUAACUUAUUGUUCGUUGGCCAGCUCGUGAGCCAGCUCGUGUUCAGCUCGUUUAUUAACAAACCGAACACGAGCUGAAUUUUUGACUCGAUACUUUAACGAGCGAGCUCGUAUUCGGCUCGUUUACACCCUUACAC
RNAcentral lists this long non-coding RNA (554 nucleotides) under Ananas comosus (pineapple). RNAcentral describes it as "long non-coding RNA (ACOM_LNC016552)". Lineage: Eukaryota; Viridiplantae; Streptophyta; Magnoliopsida; Poales; Bromeliaceae. The record is from RNAcentral.